This 73-nucleotide transfer RNA is filed under the name Chitinophagaceae bacterium. Its description in RNAcentral is "tRNA-Lys". It matches the Rfam family "tRNA". Rfam says of the family: Transfer RNA (tRNA) molecules are approximately 80 nucleotides in length. The record is from RNAcentral. RNAcentral also lists the same sequence under 1 other name. Lineage: Bacteria; Pseudomonadati; Bacteroidota; Chitinophagia; Chitinophagales; Chitinophagaceae.
GAUCUCGUAGCUCAGUUGGUAGAGCACAACACUUUUAAUGUUGGGGUCUUGGGUUCGAGUCCCAACGGGAUCA